Long non-coding RNA from Bombyx mori (domestic silkworm), 493 nucleotides. RefSeq lists it as uncharacterized. NCBI's taxonomy places the organism in Eukaryota, Metazoa, Arthropoda, Insecta, Lepidoptera, Bombycidae. The transcript has 2 exons. The record is from RefSeq and is a predicted model, not a curated record.
GACUAAAUUCAGCUGUGGUAAAAGCACGAAGGAAUUAUCAUGUUCACGAUGCUUAGAAUUUUAUUGUGGUGUAACUUACUCUUUGGGAAUAAUGUAUCGAAUUACAAUUUGGAUACGAAAGGAGAGUUUUUUUCAAAGAUAAAUUAAAUUCAUUUAGAUACAUGGUGCUCUGGAAAAGCUCCCGAGAAACAAUACUAUACUGAAUGUAUUAUGUUAAUGUUGCAUAAUAUUUAAAAAAAGUUAGGAUUUUUUGAACUAACUUUUAUUUAAUUUUUUGUUAACGUACUGUUAACAUUUAAAUUUAGCCAAUAUUUCUGCGGUUUGUAAAAUUGCUCUAACAUGUCAUAGUGUGUUAUAAGAGAUUGCUGUACAUGCCUGUAACUGGCUUACAUACCAGUACUUAAUUUUAUACAUGUUAAUUUUGAGCUUGAAUGAUUUCUGUGUAUUGCUGUUGGUGUGUCUAAAUAAAUAAAUAAAUAAACUAUAAACUUCA